RNAcentral lists this ribosomal RNA (471 nucleotides) under uncultured bacterium. RNAcentral's name for it is "bacterial SSU rRNA". It matches the Rfam family "Bacterial small subunit ribosomal RNA", at positions 32 to 514 of the family's 1533-position model. The record is from RNAcentral.
AAUCAACGCUGGCGGCGUGCCUCAGACAUGCAAGUCGAACGAUUAAAGCUCUCUUCGGAGAGUGUAUAGAGUGGCGCACGGGUGAGUAACACGUAAGUAAUCUACCCUCGAGUGGGGAAUAACAACCGGAAACGGUUGCUAAUACCGCAUAAUGCAGCGGCACCGCAAGGUGACAGUUGUUAAAGAUUUAUCGCUUGAGGAGGAGCUUGCGGCAGAUUAGCUAGUUGGUAGGGUAACGGCUUACCAAGGCUACGAUCUGUAACCGGUCUAAGAGGACGGUCGGUCACACUGACACUGAAUAACGGGUCAGACUCCUACGGGAGGCAGCAGUCGGGAAUUUUGGGCAAUGGGCGAAAGCCUGAUCCAGCAACGCCGCGUGAAGGAUGAAGUAUUUCGGUAUGUAAACUUCGAAAGAAUAGGAAGAAUUAAUGACGGUACUAUUUAUAAGGUCGGCUAACUACGUGCCAGCAG